CAAAAUGCGUCGAUGGACUUCAGUAGCGGGAAGAUGCAGGGAACAGAGAGCCGAUGGCGGGUGUGAAUCGGUGCCGGUCUCCUCAGCGAAAUACCGUCCGGAGCAGAGAUUGUGAACACGAGAGCAGCCGGUCGUAUCAUCCGGAACGGCUUGACGACCGCCGCCUGGACAGGAUCGAGCGGAAGUUUCUUUCAGUAGCUUUCUUCCGGGAUCUUUCCCGUUAUCCGAAUGAAGUGAAAGCGCCUGCCCGGCCGUAUGCCGAUGAAGGUGCUUUAAUUAGGGUGGUACCGCGAGUUUAAAGCCUUCUCGUCCCUUGU
RNAcentral lists this non-coding RNA (317 nucleotides) under Paenibacillus sp. Its description in RNAcentral is "T-box sequence". It matches the Rfam family "T-box leader". From Rfam's summary of the family: Uncharged tRNA acts as the effector for transcription antitermination of genes in the T-box leader family. T-boxes are found upstream of many aminoacyl-tRNA synthetase genes and some amino acid biosynthetic genes usually in Gram-positive bacteria. Lineage: Bacteria; Bacillati; Bacillota; Bacilli; Caryophanales; Paenibacillaceae. The record is from RNAcentral.